CCUACGGGAGGCAGCAGUGAGGAAUAUUGGUCAAUGGUCUUGCGACUGAACCAGCCAAGUCGCGUGAGGGAAGACUGCCCUAUGUGUUGUAAACCUCUUUUGUCAGGGAGCAACGCCGGCUACGUGUAGCCGGACUGAGAGUACCUGAAAAAAAGGCAUCGGCUAACUCCGUGCCAGCAGCCGCGUGAAUACGGAGGAUGCGAGCGUUAUCCGGAUUUAUUGGGUUUAAAGGGUGCGUAGGCGGAAUGCCAAGUCAGCGGUAAAGUCGCGGGGCUCAACCUCGCGCCGCCGUUGAAACUGGCGGUCUCGAGUGGGAGAGAAGUAUGCGGAAUGCGUGGUGUAGCGGUGAAAUGCAUAGAUAUCACGCAGAACUCCGAUUGCGAAGGCAGCAUACCGGCGCCACACUGACGCUGAAGCACGAAAGCGUGGGUAUCGAACAGGAUUAGAUACCCUUGUAGUC
This 460-nucleotide ribosomal RNA is filed under the name uncultured bacterium. Its description in RNAcentral is "partial 16S ribosomal RNA". It matches the Rfam family "Bacterial small subunit ribosomal RNA", at positions 338 to 795 of the family's 1533-position model. The record is from RNAcentral.